This 798-nucleotide ribosomal RNA is filed under the name uncultured Johnsonella sp. RNAcentral describes it as "bacterial SSU rRNA". It matches the Rfam family "Bacterial small subunit ribosomal RNA", at positions 51 to 851 of the family's 1533-position model. The record is from RNAcentral. Lineage: Bacteria; Bacillati; Bacillota; Clostridia; Lachnospirales; Lachnospiraceae.
ACACAUGCAAGUCGAACGAGAUGCGUAUCGGAAAGCUUCGGCCGGAAGAUACGUUAUCUAGUGGCGGACGGGUGAGUAACACGUGGGUAACCUGCCUUAUGGAGGGGGAUAACAGAGAGAAAUCACUGCUAAUACCGCAUAAGCACACAGUACCGCAUGGUACAGGGUGAAAAGAUUUAUCGCCAUAAGAUGGACCCGCGUCUGAUUAGCCGGUUGGCAGGGUAAAAGCCUACCAAAGCAACGAUCAGUAGCCGAUCUGAGAGGAUGACCGGCCACAUUGGGACUGAGACACGGCCCAAACUCCUACGGGAGGCAGCAGUGGGGAAUAUUGCACAAUGGGGGAAACCCUGAUGCAGCGACGCCGCGUGAGUGAAGAAGUAUUUCGGUAUGUAAAGCUCUAUCAGCAGGGAAGAUAAUGACAGUACCUGACUAAGAAGCCCCGGCUAACUACGUGCCAGCAGCCGCGGUAAUACGUAGGGGGCAAGCGUUAUCCGGAUUUACUGGGUGUAAAGGGAGCGUAGACGGAAUGGCAAGUCUGAAGUGAAAUACCCGGGCUCAACCUGGGAACUGCUUUGGAAACUGUUGUUCUAGAGUGUUGGAGAGGUAAGUGGAAUUCCUGGUGUAGCGGUGAAAUGCGUAGAUAUCAGGAAGAACACCGGAGGCGAAGGCGGCUUACUGGACAAUAACUGACGUUGAGGCUCGAAAGCGUGGGGAUCAAACAGGAUUAGAUACCCUGGUAGUCCACGCUGUAAACGAUGAAUACUAGGUGUCGGGGUGCAAAGCAUCUCGGUGCCGUCG